This 1539-nucleotide long non-coding RNA is filed under the name Cyanistes caeruleus (blue tit). RNAcentral describes it as "lncRNA (ENSCCEG00000012765.1)". Lineage: Eukaryota; Metazoa; Chordata; Aves; Passeriformes; Paridae. The record is from RNAcentral.
GCUUUUAACACAUGGGAGUGAAUUAUUAUUCUCUGAUGUGAAUAAAACUCUCAGCUGGAGCAGUGUGUAAAGUACUAAGUAUCAUCCUUGCGGGAAUGUGAAGGAUAUCCAGAAGAAAAGAAAUCCAACAGGUUUGGAAAACAGUGAAAAUCAUGAAAGAAUUCCACUCUGAUAAUUCAUACUAUUUCAGCCUGAGGCUGCCAAAUCCACCUGGACAUAUCCACAUUUUAGGAUCAAUUGUGAGGUAUAAAUCAAUGAGAACUCAGUUCAGUUCAUAUAUCUUCUACUUCCAUUUGACUCAUGAGCUUCAGGAGAAAAAAGGGAAAACCUUCUCUUCUUUGAGUUCUUCAAAAGCAGUACUCUCCAAAUUAUCCCAAAACCCUAGGAUUUGGGCCAUCAGUCAACAUUUCAACCAUAACUUGUCUCUUGGGAACACUUUAUUGCAAAUGGGAUUAAGGAUAUUUUCCUCUUGUCUUGGUUCUAGAAGACAGGUGUCUGCUAGGGAGAGCAGGAGCCUCCCUUGGGAUGAAAGAAUGUAGACCCCCUCCCUCCAAAUUAUUAUAAAUUUGAAAUCAAGGGGGCUUUCAGGCAGAGAUCUGGAGAUAGGAAUAACAGUUCUUUACUAGUAUAACCAGGCAAACAAACAAACAAUAACUACAGCAAUAACAAGAAAACAGAAACAGGGACCCCGGGACAGCCUUCUCGGCUGAGAUGGGAUGGAGGAGAGGCUUUGUUUUCACAAACCCCUCGGGCAGUCAGUCCCGGUGCUCCUGCAGGGCUCUGAGGAACGCUUGGAACAGCAGGGAUGAGCUGAGAUCCUGGGCCGGUGGCUGAGGUGGAUCAGCAGCUCUGAGACAGUGGCUGGCACUGCCACACGUCCCGGCAGGACAGGGGGUGCGAGGCCACCAACAGAGGGGAGAAGGAGAAGAAGCAGCCGCUCCGUCUGGGUGAUGGUGAAAUUCCCUUCUCUCCACAGCAGCAGCUCCGUGACCCAGCACACGAACGUCCUUCCCCGAAACCGAAGAAAAACCAGCCCAAAAACUGUCCCCACCCUCCUUUUCUGCCCCCUUCCCCCCCUGGGCCCGGCCACUCACUGUCCGUUGUGAGCACCCCUAUGUACCGGUAGUUAGGUUGUCCCAGCACAUAAUGGGUAAAAAUUCCCCGGGCAGGCCAGAAGGACAAAACAAAAAAAAAGGACACCUAACCCUCAACACCUCUUUAAAACUGCAUACCUAGUGAGCCAGGGUAAAUAUCCCAGCAUGGUCUGAAGCACCCAUGUGUGCAGUCCCACAGCUGCAAAUUGCUCACUAGUAGAUUGAGGUAAGGUGCUUAAUAAUGGAGCUACACUCCUGCCUUACAUAGCUGAUGGAAGCCCUUUUCCAAUUGUGUUGUAAAUGUUUUUGUCAGAAAUACACGCUCUGUGUUGUUAUAGAAAGAGGGAGACCCCAAUGGGAUGUAAAACUUACUUGUACUAAAUGUCGUGGGGGACUGGGUUCUGUUUAGCAACUUCUCUUUUUGCCCUGCAGCACUUUGUCACCC